AGUCACUGACAUUAGAUACCCGGGUAGUCCUAGGCGUAAAUGAUGCGAGUUAAGUNUGGGGGCAUCUACGAGAUGGCCCUGUGCUGUAGGGUAGCCGUUAAACUCGCUGCCUGGGGAGUACGGUCGCAAGGCUGAAACUUAAAGGAAUUGGCGGGGAGCACCACAAGAGGUGGAGGCUGCGGUUCAAUUGGACUCAACGCCGGAAAACUCAUCGGGAGCGACAGCAGUAUGAUUGCCAGGUUGAUGACCUUGCUUGACAAGCUG
This 264-nucleotide ribosomal RNA is filed under the name uncultured archaeon. Its description in RNAcentral is "partial 16S ribosomal RNA". It matches the Rfam family "Archaeal small subunit ribosomal RNA", at positions 719 to 982 of the family's 1478-position model. The record is from RNAcentral.